Molecule: long non-coding RNA, 2336 nt
Organism: Hylaeus anthracinus
Lineage: Eukaryota; Metazoa; Arthropoda; Insecta; Hymenoptera; Colletidae
Exons: 2
Source: RefSeq, a predicted model, not a curated record
GUGUGGAAAGGGGUGCGUUGGAGGCUAGCUACGAUCCUGGCACAGUUGGUCCUUAUUCAGAGACGCGAGAGGCAAGAGAGGACGCGGGGGCCCCGGUAUAACAAAGAUCCAUCGGGACCGGUUUCGUGUUCUGCCCUUUUUUACAUUCUCCGAAGGGGCCCCGUCGAGCCGCGGGUGUGAAAACCGACACCCACCCACUUGUUAUUUUGUCAAACACGAGACCUGAAAAUUAUAGGAAUCAUGCGGUAUCGCUGCUCACUCCUGGUGCCCGCUCGCUUCAAAUUAUUCUCGAUUGCACGCUCUCGAUGCAUUUUAUAACCGCCAAUUAAUCGCGACGUCGACCCCGGCCGUUCCCUGCUACCGGUACACCGCGUUCCCUUGUCGCUUCCAACUUGCGCGAUCCACGUUUCGUUCGUCUUUUUUCUCCUCCAAUCGCGCGGCCCCGAGUGUCCACUCCACGGCUAUUCGUGUUUCUUCGUGUCCGCUGAUAUCGAACACGAUAAGGAACGGCUCGCUAUAGAAGGGACGAAUGCAGUUUAGAACAAUUUUAAGAAAUUUGUGGAAAAAACGUGGUUUAAUAAAGGUGCUCGCAUGCUUGGUAUUUUUAAGCGCGUAAAUAUCACUUCAAUUAUUACACUGAAUCCAUACAUCGUGGUAUAAUUAUUUCUAUUCUUCUUGACAUCACUUUGCCUUACAUAACCCCUUAAUUUGGCUUUGUCCGCGUUAUCGUUAGACUGUACAUUACAUUUACGUUAACCUUGUCUCUUGUACUUUUCUUACCUUUUCUACUUUCAUUUAUAAUUCAUUUGUUAUCGAACCUUUUUUUUUCUUGAACCACCCCCAAUCGUUCCCAACUUACACCUCAUAUUUUGUGCAAUGGACAGUACAACGAUAUCCAAGAAAUUAAAAUAUUCCGACCCCUUAAGCCCAACUUCCUGAGACUGACGUCAGAACGAGCCCCUUCUCGCGAAAUCGUAUCCGUUUCGUAAUUAGAAUUACUAGUAUCAAAGUCUCCGUAAACCUGUUUUCGCCGCUUACGAUCUUCGAUUCCUCGUCGUUUGCUUGUCCGUCACAGAAACGAAUCGAAUCGUUGCUCCGACCAGGCACCGAAUGGGAAAUUUAAUUCGUUUCCGGUAAGAUACAUCGACCGAGACACGUAAUUACGGGAUCGCCUACACGGAUGGCUCUAUCGCUCUCUCGAGAGCGAAUCAAACGCUCGAUAACAAUCUAUCUAUGUUAGGUGUACGGAAUUUUCGCUCAACCGUGAAAUUAGAUUCUCCUGCGUCGCUAAGAAGUGCGCUAGAUCCAGUUCUUUGAGCAGUGCAACGAAGAGCUAUUAAUACGCUGUUUCUCUGACGUUUGGUAGAAAGGGUAGUAAAAAAAAAAGAGUAAGUGAAAAAAGUGUGUCUCCGAGAUACGAUCGUGCAAGCUGCAGGAAUAUGAAAUUUAAAAAAGUAUUCGUUUGAUCUUCUCGAGAAGAAUGUAAUUUUUACUCGAACCUUUUCUACCAAACGUUGAUGAUUUAUUAUUAUAUCUGAUAAGGAACCUCGUCGAUCUGUCGCAAUUUCGAAGAUAAGAAGACGUAUGCAAGAGAAAGCAAAUGUUGAAACCACGGUGUCGUUAACGCGUGUGACCGAUAGCCGUUAAUCGCUGAUAGGGAAUCUCUGUUGGAAGGAUCAAGAGAAUGGUAAUUGGGGGAUCGUAGACGCGAGGCAGUCUGGCGAAACGAAAGUAUUUAACAGCCAGCUCGCCGUCCGCAUUCUCAGGUGACAAGCUUUUACGGCGCUCACCUGGACCUGGCUGGGGCAUUUCUGCGCCACCGUGGAAACUAUAGCGCGCCAUAUCGCUACAUAUAUGUACAUUCGUCGUUCAGCAAAUAAGGGACUUGUUAAGUGCACCGAGGCUGGCAAGUCACGCCGUCCUGAGACGGGUUUCGCGCACUCUUUGACCAUAAGGGGAACACAAUACUUACCUCUUAUCUCUGCAUCCUGUACUUGCAGCUGGAAAGUAUAAAACUGUAUCGAGAGAGCAAAUGCUCCGUGCUAGUAGCGCUCCAUUUGUUACGAUAUAUCUUAAUAUUUAAUCUGAAGACCACUUUAAUGUCUGACAGAAAUUUACUGUGUUUAGAGGUAAUUCAACGAUAAGCCAUUCAGGAAACAGUAUUUAUGCAAUGUAUGAACUGCAUACAAGUCUAAACAUUAGAACGUGUCUCCUCUUAAAAUAGAGAUGCAAUGAUAUAGGGACAAAACUUUGUAGUAUGUAGAUGGAUUCUAUAUCUAACAUAAGGAAAGUGUAUAUGAGCAACUUUGCAGAAAUAAAUCAGGUGUUUUGUGGUU